RNAcentral lists this ribosomal RNA (477 nucleotides) under uncultured bacterium. RNAcentral's name for it is "partial 16S ribosomal RNA". It matches the Rfam family "Bacterial small subunit ribosomal RNA", at positions 30 to 507 of the family's 1533-position model. The record is from RNAcentral.
AUUGAACGCUGGCGGCAUGCCUUACACAUGCAAGUCGAACGGUAACAGGUUAAGCUGACGAGUGUCGAACGGGUGAGUAAUGUAUCGGAACGUGCCCAUUCGCGGGGGAUAACUGCUCGAAAGAGCAGCUAAUACCGCAUACGACCUGAGGGUGAAAGCGGCGGAUCGCAAGACCUCGCGCCAUUGGAGCGGCCGAUAUCAGAUUAGGUAGUUGGUGAGGUAAAGGCUCACCAAGCCGACGAUCUGUAGCUGGUCUGAGCGGACGACCAGCUACACUGGGACUGAGACACGGCCCAGACUCCUACGGGAGGCAGCAGUGGGGAAUUUUGGACAAGGGGCGCAAGCGUGAUCCAGCCAGGCCGCGUGUGGGAAGAAGGCCUUCGGGUUGUAAACCGCUUUUGUCAGGGAAGAAAAGGUUCUGGCUAAUACCUGGGACUCAUGACGGUACCUGAAGAAUAAGCACCGGCUAACUACGUG